UAAUGAUGGGGAGAAGGAGUCAUAGAGGCAUGUGAAGUAAACGAGAUGUAUCUGCCUUGCGGCAGCCAAGCGUUCAUAAUGAUAUUGCUUUUGAUCCUUCGAUGUCGGUUCUUCCUAUCAUACUGGAGCAGAAAUCAGUAAGCGUUGGAUUGUUCACCCACUAAUAGGGAACGUGAGCUGUGUUUAGACUGCCGUAAGGCAGCUUAAUAUUAUUCGUCUGAUGAAAUGUUGUUGCAUUAGUAGUACGAGAGGAACCGUUCAUUCGGAUAAAUGGUAUUUGGUCCUGCCUGGCCAGGCAGUAGCCCGAAGCUAAUAUCCGUUGGAUUAUGGCUGAACGCCUCUAAGUCGGGAUCCGUGCUAGAGCGCGGCGGUUACUGCCUUUUCUGACAAUUAGUUGAAUACAAAUAGUGCUUCGGCUCCUGAAUCAUGCUACGCGGAGCCAAUAUCCAGGGCUAAAAGUCUUGUGUGGUGCCUGCCAAUGUUAAUUUCCAAUAUUGGAAGAUAUAUAUCCAUUGCAAGCGAGUUUAAAGCAGUGCUGCACUAUAAGUCGUAGUGUAGCCUUGCCGCUACAGAUUUGUCUCAAAGAACAAACAUUUCUCUCUCCUUGU
RNAcentral lists this non-coding RNA (608 nucleotides) under Lobosporangium transversale. Its description in RNAcentral is "Eukaryotic large subunit ribosomal RNA". It matches the Rfam family "Eukaryotic large subunit ribosomal RNA", at positions 2787 to 3401 of the family's 3401-position model. The record is from Rfam by way of RNAcentral. Lineage: Eukaryota; Fungi; Mortierellomycota; Mortierellomycetes; Mortierellales; Mortierellaceae.